AGUCUAACCUUCGGGGGGACGGUUACCACGGUGUGAUUCAUGACUGGGGUGAAGUCGUAACAAGGUAGCCGUAGGGGAACCUGCGGCUGGAUCACCUCCUUAAU
Molecule: ribosomal RNA, 104 nt
Filed under: Pseudomonas vancouverensis
Lineage: Bacteria; Pseudomonadati; Pseudomonadota; Gammaproteobacteria; Pseudomonadales; Pseudomonadaceae
Also listed under: 1 other name
Description: partial 16S ribosomal RNA
Rfam family: Bacterial small subunit ribosomal RNA
Source: RNAcentral